This 839-nucleotide long non-coding RNA is filed under the name Capsicum annuum. RNAcentral's name for it is "long non-coding RNA (CANN_LNC014711)". Lineage: Eukaryota; Viridiplantae; Streptophyta; Magnoliopsida; Solanales; Solanaceae. The record is from RNAcentral.
AAGAAAGGUUAUAAAGAAAUUAUGCAAAUACAUCAAGAGUCUUACAAACUAUAUAGCCGCAUUUGAUCUUCAGAUAUGUAGGAUGGACUUGGGAUUCAAAAGGAAGUAUACGUUUCAAGUUUCUUAGACAGGUUUCCAACAAGAUAGGGCGAAAAUCGUUCUUCCUUUCCAACCCAGCAACAACCACUGGCUAUCUUCAUCAAUUAAAAAGUCUCUAUGAUAUAACCUCACCUUCUCAACUGCCUUAUUCAGGAACUCCUCCCGGUCAAAAGGUAUCUGCGUAAACCUCGCCCCCAGAAUACGAGCUUGCCACUGCUUGUAGGUCUCUGGUCGUUCAACUCUUUCUCACCCCUCACAAGCUUAUGUCAAAUUCUAGAGUUAAGAAAGGUUAUAAAGAAAUUAUGCAAAUACAUCAAGAGUCUUACAAACUAUAUAGCCGCAUUUGAUCUUCAGAUAUGUAGGAUGGACUUGGGAUUCAAAAGGAAGUAUACGUUUCAAGUUUCUUAGACAGGUUUCCAACAAGAUAGGGCGAAAAUCGUUCUUCCUUUCCAACCCAGCAACAACCACUGGCUAUCUUCAUCAAUUAAAAAGUCUCUAUGAUAUAACCUCACCUUCUCAACUGCCUUAUUCAGGAACUCCUCCCGGUCAAAAGGUAUCUGCGUAAACCUCGCCCCCAGAAUACGAGCUUGCCACUGCUUGUAGGUCUCUGGUCGUUCAACUCUUUCCCACCCCUCACAAGCUAUGACAUUCAGUGCUUCCCUUCCAAAGAUCUCUCUCUCAAUUAAUCCUCUUUCUGGAAUCUCACGGGGAACAAUAGUUUCAAGCAUAUCGAAAAGUGC